RNAcentral lists this microRNA precursor (87 nucleotides) under Chlorocebus sabaeus (green monkey). Its description in RNAcentral is "miRNA (ENSCSAG00000019808.1)". The record is from RNAcentral. Lineage: Eukaryota; Metazoa; Chordata; Mammalia; Primates; Cercopithecidae.
UAUUAGGUUGGUGCAAAAGUUAUUGCAGUUUUUGCAAUUACUUUUAAUGGCAACAACUGCAAUUACUUUUGCACCAACAUACAUAGU